Molecule: long non-coding RNA, 1023 nt
Organism: Anopheles gambiae (African malaria mosquito)
Lineage: Eukaryota; Metazoa; Arthropoda; Insecta; Diptera; Culicidae
Exons: 2
Source: RefSeq, a predicted model, not a curated record
UACACAUUUAUCUCGGUCCUAAAGGAAGGAAAAGUGGCUAUCGCUAUCUCUAUUGCAACGUUAGCUCUGUUGGAGUUCCACUACGAGUGCGGAGAUGAUACAUGUUUACUAACAAAAGAUUAGAACCAUAACAAAAGAAACCUCCAAUGUCUUUGUAGAUCGUUCCGAAGAUCACUCUAUAAAAUCCUAAGUGCAUCUCGAUCAUUGUCAUUGAACCUCACCUUGCUGUUCCUGCCCGCAGGUAAGCUGAUGAUGCUCUCGGCACUGUGGCUUCCGUUUGUUCCAGCUGCUUAUUUCACUGCCCUGACCUGCUCCUCCACCGGUGGACGAUAGUGUACUGCUGCUGUUCGCGGUGCCACUCAGCAGCCGUACGACAAGCAUGGCCGGUGCAUUUACGCCCAACCGCCGCACCGUCGCCGUUGCCAUCAUUGUCGCCCAUCGAGAUGAUGUUUGCGCAACCGGGCUGGAGCCUGUGCAGUAUCCGCGUUGUUGAUGGGAUGAUGCUGAUUGUGGUAGUGCUGCCCGUGCCAGUAGCCCUUUAAAGUGCACACCAACGAAGCGGACGGAGGAGACGGAGGGCGAGUGCAUCGUUUUCUAUUGUCGAUGCACGGGGUUAGCGGUUAGAUCGAGCUGGGGAAGAGAGAAAUUUUAAGUGAACGACGUUAGGGUAGUUGGUUGCGCAAAGGUUAAACAAAUAGAACCGAUUCAGCUGGACAUCGUUGAAGGAAGCAGCGGUUGGAGUGACGAAUGGGUGGCACUAAUUUCAAUGAUAAUUUCCCUUUAUGAUUUUUGUUAAAGGAUUGAUGAUAUAAUUCGUUUCUUUAUUUCUAAUUUUGCAAUAAUGUUGGAAAUUCUAUUCAAUUCGCUUCCCAAUUUUAAAUGUUUAAAUUCCUAUCGUUUGUAUUUUUUAAAUACAUACUUCUAUAUUAGGGCACAGAUUUCUUGUGGUAGUUUUGGUCUAUUGAUCAUAUUUGUUUUACCAUAAUGUAGCAAAAAUAAAUUCUAAAUGUUAAGGCCAAAAAA